RNAcentral lists this ribosomal RNA (459 nucleotides) under uncultured bacterium. RNAcentral's name for it is "partial 16S ribosomal RNA". It matches the Rfam family "Bacterial small subunit ribosomal RNA", at positions 338 to 795 of the family's 1533-position model. The record is from RNAcentral.
CCUACGGGAGGCAGCAGUGAGGAAUAUUGGUCAAUGGCCGCAAGGCUGAACCAGCCAAGUCGCGUGAGGGAUGACGGUCCUAUGGGUUGUAAACCUCUUUUGUCGGGGAGCAAAGGGCGCCACGUGUGGCGUUUUGCGAGUACCUGAAGAAAAAGCAUCGGCUAACUCCGUGCCAGCAGCCGCGGUAAUACGGAGGAUGCGAGCGUUAUCCGGAUUUAUUGGGUUUAAAGGGUGCGCAGGCGGAAUGUCAAGUCAGCGGUAAAAUUUCGGGGCUCAACCCCGUCGUGCCGUUGAAACUGGCGGUCUUGAGUGAGCGAGAAGUAUGCGGAAUGCGUGGUGUAGCGGUGAAAUGCAUAGAUAUCACGCAGAACUCCGAUUGCGAAGGCAGCAUACCGGCGCUCAACUGACGCUCAUGCACGAAAGCGUGGGUAUCGAACAGGAUUAGAUACCCGUGUAGUC